ACGAGAGGUGCAAGCGUUAUUCGGAAUUAUUGGGCGUAAAGGGCGCGUAGGCGGUGUUGUAAGUUUUUCGUUUAAGGCUUUGGCCUAACCAAAGAAAUGCGAAAAAUACUGUAAUGCUAGAGUAUAAUAGAGAGAAGUGGAAUUUUCGGAGUAGCGGUUAAAUGCGUAGAUCUCGAAAGGAACGCCAAUGGCGAAGGCAGCUUCUUGGGUUAUUACUGACGCUGAGGCGCGAAGGCAUGGGGAGCAAACAGG
Molecule: ribosomal RNA, 252 nt
Filed under: uncultured bacterium
Lineage: Bacteria
Description: partial 16S ribosomal RNA
Rfam family: Bacterial small subunit ribosomal RNA
Source: RNAcentral